AUAAAUUUCAAAAGAUCUUUGCAAAUGUGAUUCUUCUAACAAGCCAUCGAACAAGCAUUUAAACAGAACAGAAUCAUGCUCUCUUCGGUAGCACAUAUAUUAUACUAAAAGUGGAGCGAUCCAGAGGUUAGCAUGGGCCCUGUGCAAGGAUGACAUGCACAUUCGUGAAGCAUUCCAUAUUUUUAAAAGUCUAAUAGAAAAUUUGAGAAAGAAUUUUAAAAUGACAAAAUCAGCCAUUUUGCAACAUAUUCCGCAAAAAGAUCUACAGGCUUAACAGUUUUCAUAAUAUACAGUGAAGUUUUCAACUUAAUAUAUCCUGAAAUGUAAAAACUAUCAGGAUUUUUUUUCACAGGGUGACAAUGGCAGCGCUCAUGUUCCUUUCAAACCCCUUCAGUGUCCGACAAUGGGAGCCAUACCAGCUGUCUGAAGCAAAGGCUUGGAGGGGAACAUAAUGAAAAUCACUGUUUUCUCUCUGAGUAACACAUUUUUAAAAUGAUGUUGUCCUUUCACAGUAUAUGCUGAGCAUAAUGCUUAAUUAUAAAGUAUUGAAACAUGAACUCCAGUGUGAAUGCUAAAGAACUGUGGUCUCUGUUCACAUUGUUAUAAAAGAGACAAGUUUAUUUUAACGAGAACCGUUCUAUGCAUCAGGCA
This 651-nucleotide small nuclear RNA is filed under the name Homo sapiens (human). The record is from RNAcentral. Lineage: Eukaryota; Metazoa; Chordata; Mammalia; Primates; Hominidae.